This 305-nucleotide ribosomal RNA is filed under the name uncultured bacterium. RNAcentral describes it as "bacterial SSU rRNA". It matches the Rfam family "Bacterial small subunit ribosomal RNA", at positions 339 to 642 of the family's 1533-position model. The record is from RNAcentral.
CCUCGGGACGCAGCAGUGAGGAAUAUUGGUCAAUGGGAGAGAUCCUGAACCAGCCAAGCCGCGUGAGGGAAGACGGCCCUAUGGGUUGUAAACCUCUUUUGUCGGAGAACAAAACCCGGGACGUGUCCCGGACUGCGUGUAUCCGAAGAAAAAGCAUCGGCUAACUCCGUGCCAGCAGCCGCGGUAAUACGGAGGAUGCGAGCGUUAUCCGGAUUUAUUGGGUUUAAAGGAUGCGUAGGCGGAAUAUCAAGUCAGCGGUAAAAAUUCGGGGCUCAACCCCGUCGUGCCGUUGAAACUGAUGUUCU